UCAUUGGAUUAGUGGGGCCAGAAAAGAACGAAGCCAUUAUCUUGGUGCAGGGAGAUUACUCCUGCAAGCAUUCUGGGUUUUAAUGACCUCACAGUAAGGCUGGCUUGUGCAAGCUGCAGUCCCAAACUUAUAGAGUCUCAGGUCUUAAGUCAUUGCACCAGAAUCAGGAUAAGAUGUGUGCUUGAGAGCAGUUCUUGAGAGACACGGUGUCCUUAUGUCUUUAAUGCCUACUUCACUACCAGCCUGGUGGGAAAUCAUGUGAAAACCAAAAUGUGUCUGCGGAACGUCUUUCUCAAGGACCUGGAAGCCAUUCCUUUGAAAUGUAAUCAUUAGGGAAGAUGAGGGUUCUUUCUCCCAGUCUCUAUGGAAGGGUAAGAGUUUAACUUCCAUGAGCGCCAAUCAGCACACACAGGUAGCAUUAUCACACUGAGCAUCCUCACGAAUAGGAUUCACUAGUACUUUCUGCUAAUGCACCCAUGGAUUUAAAAAACUCUCCCAUCUUUUGUUUCAGUGGUUACAUUUAUUAUCUCCCCUCACUGCAGAAGUUUUGAAUAAAGUCUUUCCUUCCUGUUUGAAAAUCAAAGUUUGAAACA
Molecule: long non-coding RNA, 593 nt
Organism: Canis lupus familiaris (dog)
Lineage: Eukaryota; Metazoa; Chordata; Mammalia; Carnivora; Canidae
Exons: 4
Source: RefSeq, a predicted model, not a curated record